UUUUUUUUUUUUUUUUUUUUUUUUGUAAUGCGACUGAAGGUUGUAAAGGGGACAGACAGUCAUUGGAAAGAUGUUUAAACACACACACAUGCACACACACACAUACAUAUUCUAUAAAGACACAGCUCUUUUGGGUUCAUGGAACUUCUUGCUUCUGCAAUAACAAAGCAGUGGACAUUUUGUCAUACUUUUUGGCCUUCCAGUGUCUGAACCUCCUUCCUGUGUUUGGGAGUUUCUCACAUUAUGAGGCAUAGUCUGUAACGUGCUAUAGAAAUGAAAAUAGACAUUUUCUUUACCAGCCUCCAUUGUAGCUAGGGAAUGGGCUACAUAGCCUAGGCUCUGGCAAGCAGAUUUUAAAUGGAAAGCUGCUGAUGUGAAGAAGCAGGGUCGCAAUAGGGGUUGCUUUCUAGAGGCAGCAGGGACAGUG
RNAcentral lists this long non-coding RNA (427 nucleotides) under Pan troglodytes (chimpanzee). RNAcentral describes it as "long non-coding RNA NONPTRT001081". The record is from RNAcentral. Lineage: Eukaryota; Metazoa; Chordata; Mammalia; Primates; Hominidae.